GGGACACAGCAGGGACCCAGCUAGACAGGAGGAGAGAGAGGGUGGUGCGGGUGGCCCAGCUUCACUGCUGCUCUGUGUUUGUAAUAACAGCGUGUCAGCGUCUCCUAUGGCUUGUUUGUGUUCCCCUAACAAGUUAUUAGUGCAGGCGGGACCAGGCACAGCCAGCUCCUGGCAUCCUGCCCUGUAGCUUUGCAGGGAGGGACCUGACUGAUCUUUGCCCUGCAUCCCACCUGCCCAAGGAAGCUUUUCAAGCCUGGUAUUGUCCCACGGGGCUAGGGUAUUUUCUGUGGGGCGUACCCCCACCCCACAGGUUGUCUCUGGAGUCCACCUGCUGUGAGCCAGGAGCUCCAUGGCUGAGGACAAUUGCAUGUGUCCCAGAUGUCAUGCGCAGUCCUCCCCACCUGUAACUCACCCCCCAGUGAUGAGAGAAGUGACAUCAGAACGCCAAUGCAUCAUUAGUGAGUGCUCCCACAGAAGAAAGAAAAACCCAGGGACACUGCUGGUGAGGGACUCAGUGGGCGAAGGUGCUCGCCACCACGCGUGGCAGACCUUAGUGCAAUUCCAGGGACCCGUGUGCUAACAGAGCUGCCUCCUCACUGUUCUGAUCUCCACAGGUGCUCAGUGGCACACAUGCACACACUUGUGUGUGCUCGUCCCACACCCCCAAUGUAUGUAAUAACAGUUUUUAAACUAGGCAUGGCUGUCCACACCUUUAAUCCAUGCACCCCAGAGGCAGAAGGAUUUCUGUGAGUUCCAGGCCAGCCAGGGUUAUGAGUGAGCCCUAUUGCAAAAUAAAUAAACAAAUGGAGAUUUAAACU
This 818-nucleotide long non-coding RNA is filed under the name Rattus norvegicus (Norway rat). Its description in RNAcentral is "long non-coding RNA NONRATT025536". Lineage: Eukaryota; Metazoa; Chordata; Mammalia; Rodentia; Muridae. The record is from RNAcentral.